AGUGAACGCUGGCGGUAGGCCUAACACAUGCAAGUCGAACGGCAGCACAGUAAGAGCUUGCUCUUACGGGUGGCGAGUGGCGGACGGGUGAGGAAUACAUCGGAAUCUACUUUUUCGUGGGGGAUAACGUAGGGAAACUUACGCUAAUACCGCAUACGACCUACGGGUGAAAGCAGGGGAUCUUCGGACCUUGCGCGAUUGAAUGAGCCGAUGUCGGAUUAGCUAGUUGGCGGGGUAAAGGCCCACCAAGGCGACGAUCCGUAGCUGGUCUGAGAGGAUGAUCAGCCACACUGGAACGUGGACACGGUCCAUGCUCCUACGGGAGGCAGCAGUGGGGAAUAUUGGACAAUGGGCGCAAGCCUUAUCCAGCCAUACCGCGUGGGUGAAGAAGGCCUUCGGGUUGUAAAGCCCUUUUGUUGGGAAAGAAAAGCAGCAGGUUAAUACCCCGCUGUUCUGACGGUACCCAAAGAAUAAGCACCGGCUAACUUCGUG
Molecule: ribosomal RNA, 492 nt
Filed under: uncultured bacterium
Lineage: Bacteria
Description: partial 16S ribosomal RNA
Rfam family: Bacterial small subunit ribosomal RNA
Source: RNAcentral